GUAUCCAACCUGCCCACCACUUGGGGAUAACCUUGCGGAAGUAAGACUAAUACCCAAUGGUGAUGGAUGGGGAUGCGUCUGAUUAGCUUGUUGGCGGGGUAACGGCCCACCAAGGCGACGAUCAGUAGGGGUUCUGAGAGGAAGGUCCCCCACAUUGGAACUGAGACACGGUCCAAACUCCUACGGGAGGCAGCAGUGAGGAAUAUUGGUCAAUGGACGAGAGUCUGAACCAGCCAAGUAGCGUGCAGGAUGACGGCCUAUGGGUUGUAAACUGCUUUUAUAAGGGAAUAUGUACCUUAUGAAUAAGGACCGGCUAAUUCCGUGCCAGCAGCCGCGGUAAUACGGAAGGUCCGGGCGUUAUCCGGAUUUAUUGGGUUUAAAGGGAGUGUAGGCCGGAGAUUAAGCGUGUUGUGAAAUGUAGACGCUCAACGUCUGCACUGCAGCGCGAACUGGUUUCCUUGAGUACGCACAAAGUGGGCGGAAUUCGUGGUGUAGCGGUGAAAUGCUUAGAUAUCACGAAGAACUCCGAUUGCGAAGGCAGCUCACUGGAGCGCAACUGACGCUGAAGCUCGAAAGUGCGGGUAUCGAACAGGAUUAGAUACC
Molecule: ribosomal RNA, 603 nt
Filed under: uncultured bacterium
Lineage: Bacteria
Description: bacterial SSU rRNA
Rfam family: Bacterial small subunit ribosomal RNA
Source: RNAcentral